AGAGUUUGAUCCUGGCUCAGAAUCAACGCUGGCGGCGUGCCUAACACAUGCAAGUCGAACGCGAAAGGGGCUUCGGCCCUGAGUAGAGUGGCGAACGGGUGAGUAACACGUGGGUGAUCUACCUCUGAGUGGGGGAUAACGUCCCGAAAGGGACGCUAAUACCGCAUGACGUCCUGGGUUUGAAUACCUGGAAACCAAAGUCGGGGACCGCAAGGCCUGACGCUUGGAGAGGAGCCCGCGCCUGAUUAGCUAGUUGGCGGGGUAAUGGCCCACCAAGGCAACGAUCAGUAGCCGGCCUGAGAGGGCGGACGGCCACACUGGGACUGAGACACGGCCCAGACUCCUACGGGAGGCAGCAGUGGGGAAUUGUUCGCAAUGGGCGCAAGCCUGACGACGCAACGCCGCGUGGAGGAUGAAGGUCUUCGGAUUGUAAACUCCUGUUGAUCGGGACGAAUGGGUUCCGGGGGAAUAUCCCGGGACAGUGACGGUACCGAUUGAGGAAGCCACGGCUAACUCUGUGCCAGCAGCCGCGGUAAUAC
Molecule: ribosomal RNA, 539 nt
Filed under: uncultured bacterium
Lineage: Bacteria
Description: bacterial SSU rRNA
Rfam family: Bacterial small subunit ribosomal RNA
Source: RNAcentral